This 423-nucleotide long non-coding RNA is filed under the name Cyanistes caeruleus (blue tit). Its description in RNAcentral is "lncRNA (ENSCCEG00000024407.1)". Lineage: Eukaryota; Metazoa; Chordata; Aves; Passeriformes; Paridae. The record is from RNAcentral.
CUUGGAGCCUGGAGAACAAAGUGAGUGGGUCUUUCCAGCUGCCUGUGAAAAAGGGAAGGUGAGGAAUGCACACCAUCCAGGGCUUUCUGAGAUACCCAGUAUCUUUGAUCUAUGACAUCACUGGUUGUGAAAGCCAAGAGGAGACAUUCUACAACUGAAAUGUAAGUUCCCAGAUAUGAGUUGAAACGUAAAUUCCAGUAAUAUUCCUCCUCCAGGUGAUCUCUUAUUUCAUAUAAACCCAGCUUAACAAAUAUUCACCACCCCCACUGCAGCCAGCUUUGUGCAGUUUAAAAGCAAUGAUGCACAACUAAUUGCUGGUGCAUUGUGCUCAGUUAUAGCAGCAGUGAAUGAUUUCCAAAAGUUGAUUAUUCUUGGAUGAAUGAUUUUCUUACCUCUGGUCCAUGCAGGAUUUACAUUUGCUGC